AACAAACGCUGGCGGCGUGCCUAAUACAUGCAAGUCGAACGGGGAAAGCUUUCGGGUGAGUACUAGUGGCGCACGGGUGAGGAACGCGUGGAUAAUCUGCCUUAGAGUGGGGGAUAACUAGUCGAAAGAUUAGCUAAUACCGCAUAAGACCACGAGAGCUGCGGCUUUUGAGGUCAAAGGUUUUUCGCUCUAAGAUGAGUCCGCGUAAGAUUAGCUAGUUGGUGAGGUAACGGCUCACCAAGGCGACGAUCUUUAACUGGUCUGAGAGGAUGAUCAGUCACACUGGAACUGAGACACGGUCCAGACUCCUAUGGGAGGCAGCAGUAGGGAAUAUUGCACAAUGGAGGAAACUCUGAUGCAGCGACGCCGCGUGAGUGAUGAAGGCCUUCGGGUCGUAAAGCUCUGUCGCAGGGGAAUAACACAAUGAAGGUACCCUGUAAGAAAGGAUCGGCUAACUUCGUG
This 462-nucleotide ribosomal RNA is filed under the name uncultured bacterium. RNAcentral's name for it is "partial 16S ribosomal RNA". It matches the Rfam family "Bacterial small subunit ribosomal RNA", at positions 29 to 507 of the family's 1533-position model. The record is from RNAcentral.